GAAAGCGAGACUUUUGAAAUGUCAUGCCAAAUAUUGGCUCAUUUUGGAUUUCAUGAGGUCUCUCUCCAGCUCUAGCGUGGUCUCUCCUACUUACACAAGCACAAGCGUGCCAGUUUGGGCGUCUGUUGUGAGUGUUGAGACUAAAGUGAGUGCUCAGACCGAAAUCAGCAGCUCUGUGUCAAAUCACACAUAUGCUGGCAGCAUUCAGACUCAAACCAUCAGCUCUCUGCCAAUGCUGACAUAUGCUGAAAGAGCCGAAGUGAUGACUGAUAUGUCAGUCCCGGAGACAGGCACUGAUUCUGUGACAAUGGAUAUGUCAGUCCUAGAGACAGACACUGAUUCUGGUCAGCGUGAUCCUCUCAAGUUUCUCUUGGAUGAGAUUCCCUGGAUUCGCAUCGGUCUCAUCAGUGGAGUUCUUUUUCUUACUGCGGUCAUUCUGGGUUUAUUGCAGGUAUUUGGAAGAAUCUGAGUCAUCACAUGAAAAGUAAAGGAGGUGUUAAAGUUUCUGACAUUUCCAAGCAAACAGAUGAUUUUGUGUGCUGUAAAAAUGUACUAGUAGGUUCAACAAUAUACAGGUCCUUCUCAAAAAAUUAGCAUAUUGUGAAAAAGUUCAUUAUUUUCCAUAAUGUAAUGAUAAAAAUUAAACUUUCAUAUAUUUUAGAUUCAUCGCACACCAACUGAAAUAUUUCAGGUCUUUUAUUGUUUUAAUACUGAUGAUUUUGGCAUACAGCUCAUGAAAACCCAAAAUUCCUAUCUCAAAAAAUUAGCAUAUCAUGAAAAGGUUCUCUAAACGAGCUAUUAACCUAAUCAUCUGAAUCAACUAAUUAACUCUAAACACCUGCAAAAGAUUCCUGAGGCUUUUAAAAACUCCCAGCCUGGUU
Long non-coding RNA from Cyprinus carpio (common carp), 881 nucleotides. The record is from Ensembl. NCBI's taxonomy places the organism in Eukaryota, Metazoa, Chordata, Actinopteri, Cypriniformes, Cyprinidae.